This is a non-coding RNA of Vicia faba (fava bean), 282 nucleotides long. Lineage: Eukaryota; Viridiplantae; Streptophyta; Magnoliopsida; Fabales; Fabaceae. The record is from the annotation of a GenBank genome assembly.
AUGUCAAAGGAAUCAGAAGACAGAUGCGAGAGACUACAGCGAGCGUUAUUGGAGUGCCACCGUCGUGUGCCGUCCGGCACGGGUCAAAACUUCGCCUGCCGUCAUCUUAACAACGCCUUCGCUAUCUGUGUUGUUUCUCUCGCGUGCCCCGAGGAAUCCGAGGCUGUGAGGAAUCUCUGCUCCAGCGCAGGCACCGCUCUUAAGCGGCGGCAAUGUCAACAAGCUCAGAUUUCUCUCUCCGUUUGUCUUGAUUCUCCAAGUGUGAAGAUUGAAGAUUCUUAA